GUACGCAAAUGGUGUGAUGCGAUCUCGUUUGUAGCCAUUUUUAGCGAGAGAUUGCGACCUAAAGUUUGAGUCUAUCUGCAAGGUUGGCUUUUUAUUAGGGCCGAUUCUACUGCGUAACGGCCAUUUGGGU
Molecule: regulatory RNA element, 130 nt
Organism: Campylobacter fetus subsp. fetus 82-40
Lineage: Bacteria; Pseudomonadati; Campylobacterota; Epsilonproteobacteria; Campylobacterales; Campylobacteraceae
Rfam family: purD RNA motif
Source: Rfam